Molecule: unclassified non-coding RNA, 292 nt
Filed under: Hevea brasiliensis (rubber tree)
Lineage: Eukaryota; Viridiplantae; Streptophyta; Magnoliopsida; Malpighiales; Euphorbiaceae
Source: RNAcentral
AAAAAAAACUAACCCAAGCACUCUUUCUUUCAAAAUUUCAUGAUAUACAUUGCUCAAUUAGUUAGAUUUUCUCUCACUUCCUCCUUUAGUUCCGUUCCAUAGAAAUCCCAUUUUCUUAUAUGGAACUCUGAGCUGCCAUUUCCUUUAAUUUCUCAAACAAAAUUUCCCUAAUUUUUUGAAAUCAAAAUCCAAUUUUUUCUCCCAGGUUUUCCCACAUUUUUCACACUCAAUGAUCUUCCAUUUUACUCUAUUUUAAUUUUGAUCCUCAUGAUCGUGAACGAUUAAUCAAGUU